Long non-coding RNA from Daphnia pulex (common water flea), 2480 nucleotides. RefSeq lists it as uncharacterized. The transcript has 5 exons. Lineage: Eukaryota; Metazoa; Arthropoda; Branchiopoda; Diplostraca; Daphniidae. The record is from RefSeq and is a predicted model, not a curated record.
CUCUGUAAAAGAACAUUUAAAAAAACCACGUCGUUAAAUAAGAUGAUCCAUUAUCGAGUAAUAUGUUUAAAAUAACAAUCAGUCAAAUUUGUCAGAACGUUUGUUGAUCGGUCGGCUGACGAAAUGGAACAUUUAUACGACUGGUUGAGCAUUUCUUUGAGCCUUUUGGCGUCGAAAAGAGACAAGGAGCACUUAAUAUGGCCUCAAUUUUUAUUUCCCCCUGGAAGCUCGUCAACGUGAAAUCGACCCCGCUGGGCAGUCUACUAGGUAAUUGACGAUCCAUCAUCCAUGGCGACGCCUUUGGCUCAUCGUCGCGCUGCGUUUCGUCACUGCCGUGAGUGAGCGCCACCCAUCGUUCCACGUAAUACCCUAGACUCAGUCCGAUGGGAAUCUAACGGGGUUUCAGGUUAUAUGUCUUCUCAGAAUGAGGAUGUAGCGUUACGAAAAGAGCUGCUUCUUGAUUUAAGAAUAAGAAAAAAAGCCCCCCAUGGAUGGACGCACUAUGACUCUGACCUGAUUUACAUCCGCGCUCAAUCUUAAAUGGCCAAUGCGAUCGGCAACAGUCUGUUAGAUGCCGCGUGCACAUUUUAGCAUAGCAUCUCCAUAACGCAGCUGUUCUCUUUGGAAUCUGUUGCAAUCCGUGCGUGAAAAAUCUCGUUUGCGGACGGAAAGAAGGACACCAGCAAUAGCCGAGAGCACAGCUGGCCAAAGAUAUUCAGCGUGAAUGUCUCUAGGUGCGAGCGAGCGCGCGCGCGCGUUCACUCGAACGAAUGAAGAACAACAACAUCAGCAAAAGGCCAAAAAUGUUCCGUUACAUUCUGGCCUCUUGUGUCGAUUCGGAUGUUACUAAAGCAUCUAGCCCGCUCUUAUUUUUCUUUUCUUUUCUUCAACUGUCGGAAUUACAAAUAUUUCGAGCAUUGCGUAACCUGUGCACUUCACGCUCAGCGAGCUCUUUCAAUUUGGAAUGGAAUUAAUAGCUCCGUCGGAUGGUUGUUGUUGUUGUUGUUCCUUUAAAUAAUUCCAAGCUACAAAUUGUUGUUAUUUUAAACGAGAAGAGGCCAAUUUCCGUGUAGGCGGUAUUAUAUUCUAAAUGGAAUUUUUUAAAAAAGAGAAUUAUAAUUUUCUGUGUCUCCGGUAGAAACCGCAAGAUGUUGCAAACUGUACCCGGGCCCCGACCUUAGACCCUAGAACCGUUCCCCAGUGAUGAUUCUUUUUUUGCUGCACAUCGGACGCCAAGUUUUAAAAAAAGAAACGAAAAUCCUUUGACGUAUAUCUACGGUUUGAAGGUCGCGACUUGGUAGCGUGUGAACUCCGUCCACUUAUUACUGAUCCCGUUGUCUGCAUGUCAAUCGAUAAUUAACCUUCUUCUUCUAGCUCUCUCACUGCAAUCCCUUGUAAUAAGUGAGUCUGACUUAUUUCAUUACGUCAAGUCAUCAAGCUUCACCGCCGUGUCUAUGCGUAGUAGACAACAUUGGUUUUCAUUAACGGUAGUUAACUUUGAGUCUAUGUGCAUAUAACAUGCUUCGCUAGUUCGCCCACACGACGACAGCAGUUCUUCCGGGUCUCUUUUUAGGAUGAGAGCGCAAUCAAACGGGACAAAUAGUCUCGGGUAAUCUAAAUAGACAACGAGCGGCAAGGUGAGAAAACUAUCGGGAUUGCGGGAGCGAUGAGAACUUCCCUGGAUGGACGGCAGCAGCAGCAGACCGAUGGACCCAGGAGCCAGCCAGCGAGAGGAAAAAGCAACGGGACAGCAGAUGUUGUUGCUGUUUGGCCGCACGGCGUUUUUCAACGGUUAUUUAAUAUAUGUAUACAGCCGUGUAUACUCUACUACUAUCUAUCAGCAGCGCAACCGGUUCUUCUUCUUUCGCAUAACUGGAGGGCUGCCCGUGGACACGUAAGGUGGAAUUUGUAGCGGCAUUCAAUCACCUAGAGCUAUGGCUCGUAUAUGUGCAAACGUAAAUCAUAUCAUUUUGUAGAUGCACGCUCUAAUUGGUCCGCCAGAUGGCCCAGGAAACUGCUGAGAACUCUUUGAAGACGGCUAGAUUUUUGCAGAAGGAAAAGCCGGUGCAAGCAGGUCAAAACAAAGGAAUUAUAACCGGCUCAUCAGCCGUUAAACUGAUUAGGUAUAACCUUCGCCUACGCUCACCUAUAAUUUUUGUUUUUCAAAAAUAACCAAAAGGUUUUGUGUGUUUACAUCAUUUUGAAAUGAGAAUCACGUCAUCGCGUCGGGGUCGACUACUAAUAAUAAAAAAAAGAAGUGAUGUGCCCCGUCAUCAGAUCGACCUAGUGGCCCUUUCCACAGUGAAACCACCAGACCAGCAAAGGACGCGUACGAUAUUACGUGCCCGGACACGACCGAUGGCAUUCCAUUCGAUUGCACGACGCUCCUGACUGAGCCGCCUGGUACAUCCGUAAUGUGUGAACGGGUUGAAUCCGUUAUCUUCCGCAUUCAUCAGCGUAUGCAAUAUAGGAAGAGAGGG